RNAcentral lists this non-coding RNA (46 nucleotides) under Xyrichtys novacula (pearly razorfish). It matches the Rfam family "Histone 3' UTR stem-loop". Rfam says of the family: The mRNAs of metazoan histone genes lack a poly-A tail. 3' end processing occurs at a site between a highly conserved stem-loop (modelled by this family) and a purine rich region around 20 nts downstream (the histone downstream element, or HDE). Lineage: Eukaryota; Metazoa; Chordata; Actinopteri; Labriformes; Labridae. The record is from RNAcentral.
ACAACGGCUCUUUUAAGAGCCACCUCAACUACAUCUGAGAGAAAUU